GGUGAAGAACGUAGCGAAAUGCGAUAAGUAAUGUGAAUUGCAGAAUUCAGUGAAUCAUCGAAUCUUUGAACGCACAUUGCGCCCGUCAGUAUUCUGGCGGGCAUGCCUGUUCGAGCGUCAUUACGCCCCUCAAGUCCCCUGUGGACUUGGUGUUGGGGAUCGGCGAGGCUGGUUUUGCAGCACAGCCGUCCCUUAAAUUAAUUGGCGGUCUCGCCGUGGCCCUCCUCUGCGCAGUAGUAAAACACUCGCAACAGGAGCCCGGCGCGGUCCACUGCCGUAAAACCCCCCAACUUUUUAUAGUUGACCUCGAAUCAGGUAGGACUACCCGCUGAACUUAAGCAUAUCAAUAAGCGGAGGA
Molecule: unclassified non-coding RNA, 358 nt
Filed under: soil metagenome
Description: partial contains 5.8S ribosomal RNA, internal transcribed spacer 2, and large subunit ribosomal RNA
Rfam family: 5.8S ribosomal RNA (bases 3-120)
Source: RNAcentral